GGGGCCCUGAUCCCUUACUGGCCCUGAAUGCCACUCAGAUGGCAGUCCUGGGACUCUUAUGUGCCAUUUUCGCAGUCCUUGGGUCUGGGGACCCUAGAGAAACCCCAUCUCAGGGUCCUGAGCUCAUGCCAGGGGUUAUACGCAGGUGUUCCAUUCCUGUCAGCUAUCAUGAAGGAGUGUGUGGAGUUAACCCAGGGUCAGGUACCAGGAAGUGCAAAUACAUAAAGGUAAAGCUGAGCUCAGGGUGUUCAGGAACCACGUGUCUCCUUUUCUGAUAUGAACAAAGAGCAGGUGUCAGGACGGGAAUGACUGAAAAGUUGGGUGUGUAUUCUGGAGGUAGUGGGAGGUUUGGGCCAGAGGAGAGAGGUAAUGUUAGCAAGGUGGAAACAGUCUCCUUCUGACUGUAAAGUGGAGAACAGACCAUGGGAAUGAGAGAGGAGCAAGGAAAUGCCGGGUGGAAGCUACUACUAUAGUCUAGGUGAGGGUUAAUGGACCGGGGCUGUGGUUUAGGGUGGUUGCAUUUCUGGAAGUGGCCAUGGGAUACAAGUUUUAAAACAGGGAAGCUGGGUUUUCUCAUGUGGGUGGUGAGGGAGGCAAACGGAGGUAUCAGGGAUAACCCCAGAGUGAUUGAUCUUCGCACCUGUAGGGAUGGAAGUUCCAACUGAGAUGAGGAAGUUGGUAGUAGGAAUAAUAUUCACUGGGGAUAUCAGGAGCUUUGUUUUGGCCACGUUAGGAGUCUGAGGUAUUUCAGAGAUCACUCAGUGGAGGCAUCAAAUUGGCAUCUAGAAACGCAAGUUGGGAAAUCAAAAGAGGGGUUCAAAUUGAAGACAUUCAAAAUGUGGUAGUUACUCUAUGGGCCCAAGUAAGUAACCUGUGGUUACAUUUAGGAGAUAUAAUCUUCAUAUUCAUGGUCAUGAAGCUGUUUAUGGGCCAGGAGGUGGAGGGUAGAGACUGAGCACUAGGUCUCUUGCUUGGGACCUGAGUGACGGCAUUGGAAUUCUUAAAUGCAGGUGAGGGAGGUAUGUGGCACUUAAGGUAGGGUGUAUCAGACAGACUAGUCUAGCAGGUGGCUGAGGCUUCCAGGAUAAGAGUGGACAUGAGAGACGUAGCGGGAAGGGGUAAUUGAGGCAAGAUGUCACUCAGGCCAGAGCUCUUGUUUAUUCACGUCUCUGUGGAUCCUCCAAGAUUUGUGAGGAUUUGGUGGGGGCUGGGAUGUUUCAUUCAGCCUGGUGGGUAUGAUCAGGGGCAAAUAUAUGGUCAUCUAUGAGAAUCAGUAGGACUGGGGUGGGUGAUACAUGGACCGGGCUCUGAAUGAGGGUUAGGUGGACACAGAAGGUUGUCAUUGCCGAGGAGACAGCCUGUGCAGCACAGAAAUGGAAGAAGGCCCUGGGUAUUGAGACCCACAACUGAUUCUGUGUGGCUGAGUCUCAGUAGGGAGGCCUUCAUAGAAGGAUUAGGUGUUUCCAACUCUAGUGGGAGCCAUGGGCAUUCUUGGCUUGUAUUGGGUUCUGUUUGAAUUUGCCAAGUAGCUCUGGAUGUUUUCUGCUAAGUUCAUUUUAUGGCUUAAAAUUAAGGUCCAUUUUUAUGUGCUGCCUUGACACCUGUUGAAGCCCCAAGUGGCUGAUGUGGCCAAGAGUGUAUUCUUGGGUAAAGUGUCCUAGCCAGGCAUCGCUUUUCAUCGAUAGGACCAGAGCACUUCCUGCUUCGGCCUUUGAAGUGGGCUUCACUUGUCUACCAGCCCAUGGAGUUAUUCACACAAGCCGUUCACAUCAUCCUGUGGGAACCAGAUGGUACCCCAACUCUUGAUCUUGUGAGACUUGCAUCUCACAGCCCCUGGUCGUUCACUCUUUUCUAGUAUACAGCAUUCACAUGGCCCUGUAAGGCGUGUGGUGUCCUCCCCUCUGGGCUGUGAAUAUAUGUAGUAAACUGCUGUUGAUCUCAUCUGUCCAGUGUCCGGUCCGGUACUUUGUGUUUGGCCGUCCCCAUAAGCCUAAGACAGGAAUUCUCAAACAAAAGUGACUUAUAGGGAGGCCAAGGAGAUGCCUGUGCCACGUGGCAUUGUGCCACCAGUGUCCAGGAACAUAAGGCUGUGCAUUCUGAAGAAUACUUGGAGAGGGAGUAUGUCUGAAGGUCCCAGGGCCCUAGGAAUGACACUUACACGACAGAUCAUAUCAGGGUGGAGGAGUAGCUUGACAGAAGUGGGUGCAUUCAUCCACCCAGGACCACAGCUCAGACAUCUGUUCACCUGUGUGUUGUUGCUGAUGCUCAGACCUCAUGACUCAUGAGCCCACGAGUAACCAGCAGAGCAAGCUGUCCCAAGGCCUGGUUUGUUUCCUAGGUUGGAGGCUUGGGAGGAGGGUGAUCUUGGGGUAGAUGUGUACAGGAGGGAUUGGGUGCUCAGGAGACGGGCUCUUGGUGGUUUCAUCUGUCACCAUCAUGACAGGACACUGUGACUUUUGAAGACGUGGCUGUGUACCUGUCCCGGCAGGAGUGGGGUCUCCUUGAUGAGUUUCAGAGACACUUCUACCACGAUGUGAUGCUGGAAAACUUUGAACUUACAGUCUUUCUGGGUGGUUGGUGUGGAGGAGACCACGAGGAGGAGCAUUUCUGUAGGCGUGCCACAAGUGAGGACUCCAAGGCAGGUGUGUCUGCCCAGAAGGCCUGCUCCUAGGAGAUACGAAGCCUGGUCUCGAGGGACAUUUUACACUUGGCUGCACCAGGGAGCACAUACCACGCAGAGGCUGUACACCCAUGGGGCAGGUGGGCAGUGAAUGUUUUAUUGCAGACCUCCUGUAGCACCAGAAGCAGCACAUUGGAGAGAAACACUUGCGGAGCAGAGUCUCAUUUGUGAAGAGCUACAGGUUCUGUGUCCCAGAAGCGCUUUACCUACAUGGCGAGGUGGAGCGGGGGGGUCGGGAAGGACUUCAGGAAUGACUUCUUGAGCAGCCCAGUGUCUCUUCGACGUAAGUCCCUCCCAUUGUGGAGAAGCCCAAGAGAGUACCGAGUGUGCAGUGGCCUCACGUGGUAUGAAAACUCAUUCGAAAUGGAGGACGCAUGAAAGCUUUCAAGAACAGAUACACAUCUGUCCAACACCAGAGACCGCUCUAGAGAAAGACCUUCCAUGUGUGGUGCGUGUUCCAUGUGUGGAAGUCUUGCAGCAGAAGGCACCGCCUCAGUCACCAUUGGAGAGGUCACACUGGAAGAGGGCCUCAGGGGUGCAGGGAACAGGGGAGAUUAUUUAGCAAGGUCACCCUCACUGAGCAUCACAGAGGUUACACUGGACAAAGGCCUUGUUUGUGCAGGGAAUGUGGGCACCUCUUUACUUACAGAUCCAGUCUCUUGAACCUGAGGUUUCAUACUGAAUCCAGGCCUCACGGGUGCGGGGAAUGGGGGAAAUCUUGUAGCCAGAGUUCUGUGCUCCUUCAGCAUCAGAAUUCAUGCUGGAGAAGGCCUUUUGAGGAUGGGGAAUGUGGGAAAUCCUUUAACUGAAGCUCUGUGCUCCUUCAGCAUCAGAAAGCUCACACUGGCUGGAGGCUUCCUGCAUGUGCGGAGUACUCAGAUGGACGCCCUGUCUCACUGAGCACCCAGAAAGUCACAUAGGAAACUUAGGUCAUUACCGUAGAUGUGCAGGGGAUGUGCGAUCUCUGUACUGCUGAGAACCCUGGAGGUGGUCCCUUGUGAGGGAUCUAAAUUCCACCUGAAUUUAAACUCCUACAUCUGAAUAGCCACCAAAUUCCAGGUAUGUGCGAGGUAUGUUUUCUUUUUUCAUUAAAAAAAAAAAAAAACUUUUAACAUUUAUUUUAUUUUUGAGAGAGAGAGUGCAAGCAGGGGAGGGACAGAGAAGGAGGGAGACACAGAAUCUGAAGCAGGCUCCAGGCUCUGAACUGUCAGCACAGAGCCUUAUGUGGAGCUCGAACUCAAUGUGGGGCUCAAACUCCCCAACCGUGAGACCGUGACCAGAGCCGUAGUCAGAUGCUUAAAUGACUGAGCCACCCAGGUACCUCUGGGAGAGGUAUGUUUUAAAAUCUGCCUUUGCCAGAUUUAUGCCCCCCAGUUCUGUUGCUGAAGCUGUUCUACGUCUACCCUGUGGAAGGUGCCCAUGGUAUGUAUCAUUCACUAACUACAUUGUGUUCAGGGAAGGAGCACUUUCCUGUUGGUGGAAGGGUAUCUGAGAAGCCUGAGCUUUCAUUCCUUUCUCAUUUCCUUCUCUCUGAUGAUUUAGGCCAUGGAUCUGAUCCAGUUUGGGCCUGGAAGACUUUGCUCAUGACUUGAAAACAGACUUCCUUUUUCAGGGAUGUUAUUGGUCUCACAUGACUUUUUUUUUUUUUUUUUAAUGCUUAUUUAUUUAUUUAAAUCAUUUAUUAUUAUUAUUAUUUGAUUUACAUCCAAGUUAGUUAGCAUAUAGUGCAACAGUGAUUUCAGGAGUAGAUUCCUUAAUGCCCCUUACCCAUUUAACCCAUCCCCUCUCCCACAACCCCUCUAGUAACCCUCUGUUUGUUCUCCAUAUUUAAGAGUCUCUUCUGUUUUGUCCCCCUCCCUGUUUUUAUAUUAUUUUUGCUUCCCUUCCCUUGUGUUCAUCUGUUCUGUGUCUUAAAGGCCUCAUAUGAAUGAAGUCAUAUGAUGUUUGUCUUUCUCUGACUAAUUUCAUUUAGCAUAAUACCCUCUAGUUCCAUUCACGUAGUUGCUAAUGGCAAGAUUUCAUUCCUUUCUGAUUGCCGAGUAAUACUCCAUUGUAUAUACUACAUCUUCUUUGUUCACUCCUCUGUCGAUGGAUAUGUGGGCUCUUUCCAUACUUUGGCUAUUGUCAAUAGCACUGCUAUAAACAUUGGGGUGCAUGUGUCCCUUCGAAACAGCAUACCUGUAUCCCUUGGAUAAAUACCUAGUAGUGCAACUGCUGGGUCGUAGGGUAGUUCUAUUUUUAAUUUUUUGAGGAACCUCCAUACUGUUUUGCAGAGUGGCUGCACCAGUUUGCAUUCCCACCAGCAGUGCAAAAGAGAUCCUCUUUCUCCUUUCCAACAUCUUUUGUUGCCUGAGUUGUUAAUAUUAGCCACUCUGAUAGGUAUGAGGUGGUUUCUCAUGGUGGUUUUGCUUUGUAUUUCCCUGAUGAUGAGUGAUGUUGAGCAUUUUUUCAUGUGUUCGUUGGCCAUCUGGAUGUCUUCUUUGGAGAAGUGUCUACUCAUGUCUUUUGCCCAUUUCGUCACUGGAUUAUUUGGUUUUUGGGUGUUGAGUUUGAUAAGUUCUUUAUAGAUUUUGGAUACUAACCCUUUAUCUGAUAUGUCAUUUGCAAAUAUCUUCUCCCAUUCUGUCAGUUGCCUUCUAGUUUUGCUGAAUGUUUCCUUCACUAUGUAGAAGUUUUUUAUUUUGAUGAGGUCCCAAUAGUUCAUUUUUGCUUUGGUUUCCUUGGCCUCUGAAGACGUGUUGAGUAAGAAGUUGCUGCGGCCAAGAUUAAAGAGGUUUUUGCCUGCUUUCUCCUCAAGGAUUUUGAUGGCUUCCUGUCUUCCAUCCAUUUUGAGUUUAUUUUUGUGUAUGGUGUAAGAAACUGGUCCAGGUUCAUUCUUCUGCAUGUCACUGUCCAGUUUUCCCAAUACCACUUGCUGAAGAGACUGUCUUUAAUCCAUUGGAUAUUCUUUCCUGCUUUGUCAAAGAUUAGUUGGCCAUAUGUUUGUAUGUCCAUUUCUGGGUUCUCUAUUCUGUUCCAUUGGUCUGAAUGUCUGUUUUUGUGCCAGUGUUUGUUUAUUUUUGGGAAAGGGAGCGAGUGCAUGUGCAUAAACUGGGGAGAGGCAGUGAAAGGGAGGGGGACAGUAUCUGAAGAGGGCCAUGUGCUGACAGCAGAGAGCCUACACAGGGCUCGAACUCAGGAACUGUGAGAUCGUGACCUGAGCUGAAGUCAGUUGCUCAACCAAUUGACCCACCCACGUGUCCCCUUCAUGUGGCUCUUGUGAUGGAAUUUUCCAGCCUCCCAAGCACAAACCUGGGAACAGCCUGCCUUCCACUGUUCUGGUUUGUGUGAUGAAGGCCUUAUUUCAGGCACCUUUAAUCUUGGGGGUUCCAGUCCCUGUGUUUGUGGCGGCUUGAAAACAACCUUUUGAGCUGUUCUGCUGAGAACUGUUGAGUUGUGCUAGCAUGAAGGUGUGACCGGCUUUUGUUGGGAUUCCAAAUUUGAUGCACCUUAGAUGGGAUAAUAUUACAGCAGAAUACGUGUAGCUCUCUCAUUUUGGCCUAGUUUGUGUUGCUGCUCUUAGCCUCCCGGAAAGACUGCAGGGCCUUAUGGUCCUUAUAUGUAGCUUCGAUGUUGUGAUGUUUUGUUGGUUCAGAGGUCAGCCUGAGGAAGAGACCAUUGUGACGACGUCUGGUGUUUGUGGGAGUAACAGAGUAUUCUGUUACUCGUUCAUAGGGGAUGUUGCGCUUUGCUCAGCACUGGUAAGGGAAAUCUGUUCCACAGAUUCCUGCAAAGGAGCAUGUGCCCUGUUGUCCAGAAUUCUUUAGGUUAGUGGUACCGGUUGAAAGGUUA
This is an RNA transcript of Neofelis nebulosa (Clouded leopard), 6511 nucleotides long. It is a transcript of the gene named zinc finger protein 211-like, with no coding region annotated. The record is from RefSeq and is a predicted model, not a curated record. NCBI's taxonomy places the organism in Eukaryota, Metazoa, Chordata, Mammalia, Carnivora, Felidae. The transcript is spliced from 3 exons.